Acipenser ruthenus (sterlet) is the source of this 429-nucleotide long non-coding RNA. RefSeq lists it as uncharacterized. The transcript is spliced from 3 exons. NCBI's taxonomy places the organism in Eukaryota, Metazoa, Chordata, Actinopteri, Acipenseriformes, Acipenseridae. The record is from RefSeq and is a predicted model, not a curated record.
CAGAAGUCAUCUGUAUGGCUCCUCCAUGUCAAAUCAAAGAAUUGAAAGUUGGUGGUCAAUUUUCAGGAAAGGAAGAGCUCAGUUUUGGAUGGAUCUCUUUGGAGACAUUCGUGACUUUGGGCUAUUCAAUGGGAGUCACGAACACCAGUGCCUGCUUCGCUACUGUUUUAUGAAUAUACUUCAGACUGACUCAGAUGAAUGCACUUCCCUUUGGAAUCUCCAUCGAAUUAGACCUUCACGGAUGUCACUCUGUCCCGGGGGCAUACCAAAUGAAAUGUACAGAUUGCCGCAAAGAUUUGGAGCCCGAGAUUGUGGAUUCCCAUUGGAUGUACAGGAGCUGCAACAGCUGUCAGAAAAUUACGGAACAGUCAACAUUUGCGGAGAUGAGGCAAUUUACUUUUAUUUGAAUAAUGUUAUUCAACAGUGCAG